Molecule: long non-coding RNA, 321 nt
Filed under: Lathyrus oleraceus (garden pea)
Lineage: Eukaryota; Viridiplantae; Streptophyta; Magnoliopsida; Fabales; Fabaceae
Description: Pisum sativum (pea) long non-coding RNA (PSAT_LNC019839)
Source: RNAcentral
CCUUGUUUGAAACCCCCUUGAGCCUAUUCUCCCUUUUUUGUUUAAAACUCAUUACAAGCCGAGAAGUGAAAAACAAUGUUAUCACCCUAUUCAAAGGGUUGAAAGAGUCUUUUCAUCCCUUGUUUGAAACCCCCUUGAGCCUAUUCUCCCUUUUUUGUUUAAAACUCAUUACAAGCCGAGAAGUGAAAAACAAUGUUAUCACCCUAUUCAAAGGGUUGAAAGAGUCUUGUUUGGAGUUAUGUGGGGUUGAAUAAUUAUGUUUGUAAUAUUUCAGAAGUUGGCAGAAAAAUAAAAAAAAUAGAAAAAGAAAAUAGAAAAGAA